This 495-nucleotide ribosomal RNA is filed under the name uncultured bacterium. Its description in RNAcentral is "partial 16S ribosomal RNA". It matches the Rfam family "Bacterial small subunit ribosomal RNA", at positions 28 to 523 of the family's 1533-position model. The record is from RNAcentral.
GAUGAACGCUGGCGGCGUGCUUAACACAUGCAAGUCGAACGAAGCACCUUGAUUUGAUUCUUCGGAUGAAGAUCUUGGUGACUGAGUGGCGGACGGGUGAGUAACGCGUGGGUAACCUGCCUCAUACAGGGGGAUAACAGUUAGAAAUGACUGCUAAUACCGCAUAAGACCACAGCACCGCAUGGUGCAGGGGUAAAAACUCCGGUGGUAUGAGAUGGACCCGCGUCUGAUUAGGUAGUUGGUGGGGUAACGGCCUACCAAGCCGACGAUCAGUAGCCGACCCGGGAGGGUGACCGGCCACAUUGGGACUGAGACACGGCCCAAACUCCUACGGGAGGCAGCAGUGGGGAAUAUUGCACAAUGGGGGAAACCCUGAUGCAGCGACGCCGCGUGAGCGAUGAAGUAUUUCGGUAUGUAAGGCUCUAUCAGCAGGGAAGAAAAUGACGGUACCUGACUAAGAAGCACCGACUAAAUACGUGCCAGCAGCCGCCGUAA